Molecule: ribosomal RNA, 244 nt
Filed under: uncultured bacterium
Lineage: Bacteria
Description: partial 16S ribosomal RNA
Rfam family: Bacterial small subunit ribosomal RNA
Source: RNAcentral
AGUGAUGCAGAGCAAAUCCCCAAAAGCAGUCUUAGUUCGGAUUGUAGGCUGCAACUCGCCUACAUGAAGUCGGAAUUGCUAGUAAUCGCGGAUCAGCAUGCCGCGGUGAAUACGUUCCCGGGCCUUGUACACACCGCCCGUCACACCAUGGGAGUCGGUAACACCCGAAGCCUGUAGUCUAACCGCAAGGAGGACGCAGUCGAAGGUGGGAUUGAUGACUGGGGUGAAGUCGUAACAAGGUACC